This is a microRNA precursor of Sorghum bicolor (sorghum), 109 nucleotides long. It matches the Rfam family "MIR5565 microRNA precursor family". The record is from Rfam. NCBI's taxonomy places the organism in Eukaryota, Viridiplantae, Streptophyta, Magnoliopsida, Poales, Poaceae.
GUCGUCGGAUUUACCUUAAUCCACAUGUGUUGAAGUGGAUUGGCGUGAAAUUUAGUUCAAAUUUCAUUCUAAUUCACUCCAACACAUGUGGAUUGAUGCGAAUCCGACU